GAGUUUGAUCAUGGCUCAGGACGAACGCUGGCGGCGUGCCUAACACAUGCAAGUUGAGCGGAGAUAUAUGGAGCUUGCUUUAUAUAACUUAGCAGCGAACGGGUGAGUAACACGUAGAUAAUCUAUCCUAUACUGGGGGAUAGCCCGAUGAAAGUUGGAUUAAUACCGCAUAUAGCUAUAUAGUUGCAUGAUUAUGUAGUGAAAGAUUUAUUGGUAUAGGAGGAGUCUGCGGCACAUUAGCUAGUAGGUGAGGUAAAGGCUUACCUAGGCGACGAUGUGUAGCCGGUCUGAGAGGAUGAACGGCCACAAUGGAACUGAGACACGGUCCAUACUCCUACGGGAGGCAGCAGUGGGGAAUAUUGCACCUGGGGGAAACCCUGAUGCAGCANCGCCGCGUGAGUGAAGAAGGUUUUCGGAUUGUAAAGCUCUGUUAGCAGGGAAGAGGAAGGAUGGUACCUGCAGAGGAAGCCACGGCUAACUACGUGCCAGCAGCCGCGGUAAUACGUAGGUGGCAAGCGUUGUUCGGAAUAACUGGGCGUAAAGGAUGCGUAGGCGGUUAAACAAGUUAUAUGUUAAAUAUAUAGGCUUAACCUGUAGAAAGCAUAUAAAACUGUUUAACUAGAGUGCAGGAGAGGUAAGUGGAAUUCCUAGUGUAGCGGUGAAAUGCGUAGAGAUUAGGAAGAACACCAGUGGCGAAGGCGACUUACUGGACUGUAACUGACGCUGAGGCAUGAGAGCAUGGGGAGCAAACAGGAUUAGAUACCCUGGUAGUCCAUGCUGUAAACGAUGGGUACUAGGUGUGGGUUGUGAAUAACAAUUCGUGCCGUCGCAAACGCAAUAAGUACCCCGCCUGAGGAGUACGAUCGCAAGAUUAAAACUCAAAGGAAUUGACGGGGACCCGCACAAGCAGCGGAGCAUGUGGUUUAAUUCGAAGCAACGCGAAGAACCUUACCUAAACUUGACAUACCUUGAAUUACCUUGUAAUGAGGGAAGCUCGCAAGAGCAAGGAUACAGGUGGUGCAUGGUUGUCGUCAGCUCGUGUCGUGAGAUGUUGGGUUAAGUCCCGCAACGAGCGCAACCCUUGUUGUUAAUUGCUAACAGGUUAAGCUGAGCACUUUAGCGAGACAGCCUAGGUUAACUAGGAGGAAGGUGGGGAUGACGUCAAAUCAUCAUGCCCCUUACGUUUAGGGCUACACACGUGCUACAAUGGUGAGAACAGAGAGAAGCAAGCUAGUGAUAGUGAGCAAAACUUAUAAAACUCAUCUCAGUUCGGAUUGCAGGCUGAAACUCGCCUGUAUGAAGAUGGAGUUGCUAGUAAUCGCGAAUCAGAAUGUCGCGGUGAAUACGUUCCCGGGUCUUGUACACACCGCCCGUCACACCAUGAGGGUUGGCAACACCCGAAACCUGUGGGCUAACCAUAUAGGAGGCAGCAGUCUAAGGUGGGGUCAGUCAUUGGGGUGAAGUCGUAACAAGGUAGCCG
Molecule: ribosomal RNA, 1480 nt
Filed under: uncultured bacterium
Lineage: Bacteria
Description: 16S ribosomal RNA
Rfam family: Bacterial small subunit ribosomal RNA
Source: RNAcentral